CCUACGGGUGGCUGCAGUGGGGAAUAUUGGACAAUGGGCGAAAGCCUGAUCCAGCCAUGCCGCGUGUGUGAAGAAGGCCUUCGGGUUGUAAAGCACUUUCAGUGGGGAAGAAAGCCUUGGGGCUAAUACCCUCGAGGAAGGACAUCACCCACAGAAGAAGCACCGGCUAACUCCGUGCCAGCAGCCGCGGUAAUACGGAGGGUGCGAGCGUUAAUCGGAAUUACUGGGCGUAAAGCGCGCGUAGGCGGUCUGAUAAGCCGGUUGUGAAAGCCCCGGGCUCAACCUGGGAACGGCAUCCGGAACUGUCAGGCUAGAGUGCAGGAGAGGAAGGUAGAAAUCCCGGUGUAGCGGUGAAAUGCGUAGAGAUCGGGAGGAAUACCAGUGGCGAAGGCGGCCUUCUGGACUGACACUGACGCUGAGGUGCGAAAGCGUGGGUAGCAAACAGGAUUAGAUACCCUAGUAGC
This 464-nucleotide ribosomal RNA is filed under the name Vreelandella stevensii. RNAcentral describes it as "partial 16S ribosomal RNA". It matches the Rfam family "Bacterial small subunit ribosomal RNA", at positions 338 to 794 of the family's 1533-position model. The record is from RNAcentral. Lineage: Bacteria; Pseudomonadati; Pseudomonadota; Gammaproteobacteria; Oceanospirillales; Halomonadaceae.